This 234-nucleotide ribosomal RNA is filed under the name uncultured bacterium. RNAcentral describes it as "partial 16S ribosomal RNA". It matches the Rfam family "Bacterial small subunit ribosomal RNA", at positions 105 to 339 of the family's 1533-position model. The record is from RNAcentral.
GGUGCGUAACGCGUAUGCAACCUACCUCUUACUGGGGAAUAGCCCGAAGAAAUUCGGAUUAAUGCCCCAUAUGCUCGUACGGCCUCAUGGUCGAGCGAGGAAAGCUCCGGCGGUAAGAGAUGGGCAUGCGUCCUAUUAGCUUGUUGGUGAGGUAAUGGCUCACCAAGGCUAUGACGUUUAGGGGACCUGAGAGGGUGACCCCCACCGAUGAAACUGAGACACGGUUCAUACCCC